Molecule: long non-coding RNA, 6509 nt
Filed under: Triticum aestivum (bread wheat)
Lineage: Eukaryota; Viridiplantae; Streptophyta; Magnoliopsida; Poales; Poaceae
Description: long non-coding RNA (TAES_LNC013793)
Source: RNAcentral
GAUGCUGUUCCCUGAUUAUGACCGAUCUGGACGCCGUGUUCCCCCAUAUGCCCUGGCUCUGGCCGUUGUUUCUCAUCCGAUCUGAAUCUUGGACGACGCCAUCUUCAUCCGAUAGAUGAACGCAAGGUAUUCCCCUCCUCCUCCUCCGCCUCCUCUUGCACUAAUAAACUCUACACUUUUUUGCCGCACCCUCCCAAUCCCAGCGCACAAAUUUCUGCUCCUGUAUCUCUAGUUAUUUUCCAUCUAACCUGUUCUAUCUCUAUCUGCUUUUUUGCAGGCGGAAAGGCUCGAUCUUUAUGCAUCUCAACUGUCUCUUAUGUAGUUUAUGGCUCAAUCGCUCCCAGAUCAGGUAUCCUUCAGCAUUUGUAGGUCGUUUCGCUUGGUCCAGUUUUGUACGCCUCUCAUGUUUUUACAUGUUUAUAUCAAGGAUAUGUUUCCACUUUGGAUCAGGCCAUGUGCAGACUCAUGCCAUGAUUUUGUCAGAUUGUUUUUUAUCGAUCUAUUCUAUCUUCACUACAUACUCACAUGAGAGGGUUCCAAACACUCAAAUGAAAUAAAUUAUCCACACAAGGAGCACAACCGCAAGUCUGGGAGAAUAUAAUCUUUUGAAAGUGAUAGCAUUCAGAUUCACUAGUAACCGUAUUGAAUACGCGUUUCUUUGCCACUCAACCAAACAAGAAGCGGCACGUCCAAAGUUCAGACCUAAUGACACAGCCCACAACAGCUUGAUCACAUGACAGUGAAUGAAGUAAUAAGUGAGAAAUAGACUAUGAUUUAGCACAUGAUAAAAUUGAACUCUUAUGGAACUCAUAUUUAUUUAAUUUCCAAAAAAUUCCACCUUUUGGAAUCGUACAGAAGCAAAAUGUCUCAGAUCUAACCGAAUCACCAUCAACCAGUCAUCACAAAACCCCUCUGAAAAGACAGUUGGAGGCCAACGCAGUGCCAGAUAUCAGCGAUAGUGCCGUUUUGACAGAUUCUCUUGCGGUUCCUAUUUCAGUUUAACUUGUAUGCGAUCGUUUUAUUGCACAUCAGCUGCUAGUAUGGUUCAAAUUGUUCCUAGAAAUACUUUUUGAAGAUCCGGAGUUUAAAGAGUAGAAGAUCUGCAGCUUAAAGAGUAUUUUGUGAACUUUGGAUGCACAUAAGUGCUGCUCAAGUACAUCUAUGAAGAGCAAUAAACAGUUCACACAUACUGUUCAUAUUUCAUAGUGCAUGAACUCCACAGCAAGUAACAUAAUUCCUGAAGAAUCCAGUGACAUUCAUAUUAUCCAUGCGGGAUGUAAAUUGUCCUUGCUUGCUAGAUUUAUAUGAUUUUUUGGCAGAGACCAUUUUUAUCAGGUGAACAACGUGGUAUUACCUUUACAUGUAUAUGUAGAUCAGGCUAUCUAUAAGUCAGACCGUUGCUGUAACCUCACCUUGAUUAGUAAUGAUGUGGAAAAAAACAUUAACUUGUUUAUUAAGCGGUGGCCCUUGAUGGCUAAUUUAGAUUGUAGAGCAUCUUGGAAGAAAUUGACAUCAAAGAUGAUUGUAUCUGAAAUUGGACAAUUAAGAGGCUUACUCUACAAUAGCUGAAAUGAUUUCCAAGUAUGGUGUCGGAAUCAAAGAAAAAAUAAUAUAGAAGAGUGAGCUUUACCAACAAGGUGAAAUGCACCAGCAUUUGUGGCCUUAUUAUCAGUUUUAUGAACCUCAACCAGUGCAGUUUGGAAAUGUCAUUUAUCUCCUGCUAAUUUCAUUGUGAAUCAGAAUUAGAUUUUUCUGAAUGAGGCAUGAGGAAAAUUAUGCUGAAAGGCAGUUCAAGCAUGGAGGGCACUGUAAACAAGUUAUUUUCAUUAUUAAAGGUGCAGUAGUUAGUUAAUUUGUUAUACUGGACAGUAGUAGAGAAAUGCCUGCAAACAAAAAAACCCCUUCAAUUUUAAGUAUAGCUGAUCCAUACCUCAGUGUACAUAAAUAACUGCACUCGAGUAAAUUCCAAUAGCAAUAGGUCAAAGUGCCAUGUUUUGUAGAUCUGUAAGUGUCAUAGUACUACAACUGACGAGUUGUGUCGUCAUUGAAAACAAUUCAACAUACAACAGUGAACAUUAGCUUACUUUUCAGUAAACCUAACUGCUUGUUGAUUGGAACUUUGCAACUACAAAUAUCCAUCAUCGAUGAAAUAUAGUGAAUUUGCCACUUAUAGUGACUUCUGUUGCCUCUAAGAAAGGAUUUGCAGUUUUACUUUUGUUGCUUGCAACAAUCUUACUGAGAAUAUUCAGAUGUAUUUCUUCUGAACAUGACACUCAACUGCCACGGGGAACCACUCAACAUUGGUAGAGUAACCAAUAUACCAAUGUUGUUACAGAGCAGGCUCACGCGUACAUAUAUUGCAACUUACCUCAGGGUGUCAUGACCUGGAACUGAUCAUAGGGUGCAACAAAACUUGCAUGUAAAAUGUCCGCUACAGUUAAUAUCUGGUAAAUAAGUACAGCAAAUGAAAUUGAGCUCGUGCUAAAUUUCAAUGUCAUUGCUGCUGGUGUUUUCCAGGGUUAUCCUUAUUAUACCCAAUCACAAAGGGAGUACUAAGGGAGUCCUAUCUUACCACCUAAGUACUGCCUUACUUUGUGGUCACCUAGAUGUUCGGUUGUUGCCCCAAACUUUGGAUUAAAUACCUCCGAAUCUACACCAAUAUGAUGUCCUUUUGCCUGCUUCAGUUUCUACCUCUAAUCCAUUGGAUUAUAUCGCUAGGUUGGUAAUCUGCUUUCCAGAGUACAAGUUUUGGCUGGUUUUUAUUUGUUUAUAAGCUGGUUUUUAUCUGAGUGUAUGUUCAUGCAGAGAAAGUUAUCAAGUUUAUUUUUAAUUUUAUAUUGAUGUCAAGCCUUAAUGGGCGCACCUUAAGCUUAUCCUUUGUUCUUUUAAAUCUGGUCCGAAGGAAGGACGGUACAGGAAGUUAUGAUUUGUUUCAGGCGUAUAUAGAUUGUGUCAAGGUUUCUAUGCAUGGGCUUCCUUUCUUGUGCAUUUUUGUUGGUUUACAAUGCUAAAUAUGAGUUCGUCAUUGCUAAAUCAUUUUCUGCUAGAUGCUAGGUUUGUAGUAAACCUGACUGUUGCUUUGACCGUCAAUCUGUGAACCCAUUUUCUGGUAGAUGAAGUGCACUAAUCGACAACAGAUUUUUUCUGUCUGAAACCUGAAUUUGGAAUCGCCAAGCCCAAACAGACCUCCUAACAACAUGCAGAGCUGGCCAUACUCAUUGCAACACUGUAUCGUGUCGGAUCACAUAGGCACAUUUGUGAAAUAGGCAUGCGUGUGCUUCUGCUACUGCCACUUCAUGCUGAAGCCAGCUAAAAUUGUAUUGUCACCUUAGCACUCAGAACCAGAAUUCCUAGCAUUACAUAUACAUCCUGCCCAACUGGGCAUCAAGUGAAAGAGAUGAUAGGUAACAGUAGUUACUAACUCCGUAUCAACCGUAUACGUCCAUAGGAUACUUAAGGGUAUCGCCCAACUGGGCAGCAAUCGGAAGUAAUCACAGAGUACGCAGUUCGGUAUCAAUGUAGCUAAGCGAGUUCACUGUUCCCAUAGCAAGCAUAUGCAUGUCUUAUCAUUCAGUAGCAGCCUUUUAUGCUGCUCAGGAAUGGCGCUUCAUGGAGUUCCUGUGGGCUUUCUUUCUUUUAGCUUCGGUGUCGGCCUUCGCCUUUGCACCCUUACACCAGUUUUGGUGCGUCAGUAUUGCUUCGAUGCUGUAGAAGGUAUUCGUGCUACACUUGUUGCAGGUAACAAGACCCCCAAUGUCUCCCUUGAUAGGCUUUGGCACGUGCUUCUUCCGCAUCUUCCUUCCUGCACAACACAUCACCAAAUGUAUAUAAGCAGUUGGUGUAAAACACCCCUUUGUAGCUAACCAUGACUGUUAUCAUGCAAAUUCGAUGGAUCUAAGCUUUGAGGCGAGAAAAAAAAUUAGUACUAACUUAAGGUUAAGCUUCAUGAUAUAAUGCAAUUGUGCCAGAAAAAAGAGGAUAUAGAUGUAAAGUCUGUUUAUUCUCAUUCCCACUAGUACUAUUAGUUGUAGGUGUCACUGUUCUCUUUCAUUUCUUCCUGCACAAACAUCACCAGAAUAUAUAUAUAUAUAUAUAUAUAUAUAUAUAUAUAUAUAUAUAUAUAUAUAUAUGCACAUGGUGUAACACUUGUUUGUAGGUAACCAUGAAUGUGAUUAUUGAACUUCCUUGCAGCUGACUAUUGCUGUGGAAAGAAAUUUAUGUUAUGUCUUUGCAGACAUGACAUGUCAACUACAACUUCCAAGCAAGCUGAGACACAUCUUCAAACAGAAAUAAAAAGAAAUGAUCUUCCCAAGCUGCAUAUAGAGAUUUCAAAGAGUCCAUUCAGCUUUUAGCGUUUUGGCUGUCAGUAACUUUGCUCCUGUGCUGGCAUUAAAAAGAAUAAAUACGGGAGCAACCACAAUAGAGAAUAGGUUUGUGGUAGAAAAAUAGAAAAAGCGGUGCUAACCUACAAAUCUUCAACACGGUUGUUCAUUUUCCUGGUAAAUAGAUAAAUGUUAACAUUGUUUGCUAUUUGUGUUGCAUCCCAGUUUUACUAUAUCAAGUAAAUUUAUGCUUUAUCUGUACAAUUCUAUUUUCCUGUACUUGUUCAUCUCAAAUCUGCUCGUGUGUGAAUGAUGCAUUUUAGUAACUUUGGUUUGUUGGUGUACUGCUCCUGUUCUUGGUGUUUUGGUACUCUAAUUUGGAACUUCUGUUUCACUGUUACCUAAUCAGGAGAACCAAGUUGAAGGGUUGGAUAAUCUUAGGGUCUUGAAGUUUAGGACACUUCACUAAAAAGCUCAGUACCUGCAGUUCCAAGAAAGUAAACUGCAACAGGCCGCCGAGCAACAGUAGUGUUUCCCAGUUAUAUAUGUAAAACUAGCUCUCAAAGUAUUAAAGCUGCUGGUAUACAUCCAUUUUAAUUUUAAGUGCACAGCUUGAGGGCAGUGCCAAGAUCUGUGUGCCAUGCAUUUCUUCAUAAAUCAUAAUAAACAUUAUACUAUUUUAAUACAGAUUAAAAAGCAUAUAUGUAGCUGUUAUGCUAUACCACAACAGAAAUAAGCACUAAUACUUCAGAAACCAAAAUAUAGUGUACAAAAAGUAUUUUAACAGAGAACAAUAGGAAGUGUCAUAGUAUAUGGAUUAUAUUCCCAAAAUGGUGGCAUCUAGGGCAAACAAUUUGUGCAUCGUAAUACUCAGGGUCAACAAUAGGAAGUGUCACAGUAUAUUUUCUGAAUUUCGGAUUCACAAACUGUUGUCGUAGGUUGUGUUCUUUAUCUGGUCCAUGUGCCUAAUGUCUGACAUAAAAGGAUGAUCUCAUUUCUGACUUUGUAAUUCUCAUCUCAGGAUCCAGUAAUGGUUGCAAUGACCGCAGCAUGUGCACCAGCACUAUCAGGUGAGAACAUUGGUCUAAGUACACUUAUGUACCUAACAUUCUGUUAGUCCCUUGUGUGAUGUUGUUUGCAAGAAAAUUGUUUGUAGCUGUGGAAUCGGUCAACAGCAUUAAAAAUCAAGAUUACAGCGAUGCUACCUCAUUUGCAGCGAUUAAUUCCCCCAUGCUUCUAAUUGAUGACUUCAGUACUCCAAAACAGAAACAAUCAUUCUCUACACUGCUCACAACCCGCAAUACCGGUUGAAUGUGCAUGGCAUCUGUCUAAUAGUAGUUGAAUUUUAGUUUGCUUCAAAAUAUAUUACUAACAUGUGACAGAAAGUGAGAUCUCAUAAGUAAAUAACAUGUAGUAUUUUACAGAUCAAUAAGGUAUUAUGUUUGUGACACAAGGUCGAUGGUAUUAAACUUCCAAUUUGUCCUGCAGGGUUCUCUGUAUAAGCCCCAGUGUAAUAGCUUGUAAUAAUAUGCAUCUGCAAGGCAGUCAUAAAACUCCCUUUAAAUUGCCUGAUGCCACUUGUUUGUCUUUCUCAUUUAUGCUUUCAACUAAUCCUUGAAAUUGUAAUACAUUGAUCGUAGGUCUAUGCAUGCCCGUGUAAGCUUUAACCCUGUGUGAAUCUGUAGCCUACAUUCCUAUUUUUCUCAAGGUAACCCAGAUUUACUUUUUGCAUGCCCAAUAUGUUUGUAUCCAUGUCCAAUAAUUGUCCUUUUUAGACGGGUAAAGUCAAAUUUAUAAUUGUAACCUUGGGUCAUAAUCUCUAACCUUCACCACUAUGAAACCUUUAUGAGCUGGUUUUUAUGCAAGCAGCUAAGGUCCAUUCAAUGGUAUGAACAUGAAUGUUUGUCAGUUGUUAGAUUUUUUUUUUGAGUUAGAACAUAUGCGUCUUAUACUGAUCUCUUGCGAAAAAUGAGUUCUAUGUUGUACUCUCUGUUAGAUUUAUCCUGCUAUCACAUGCCAUUUUUAUUUGAUUUGAAAACUCCCAUGUAGAAGCUGGAAUGUCAGCAUCGACCUCAUGCGUACUCGGAAUUUUAUCUUAAGUUUGACAUCUAGGUUAUGUAUCCUUGGUUGGAGCGGUGAAUGAGGUUGGACAUAAUGAAUGUCUCUCUCCUCAAGAUAUGGUAUUUG